RNAcentral lists this long non-coding RNA (2041 nucleotides) under Homo sapiens (human). RNAcentral's name for it is "HSALNT0210100". Lineage: Eukaryota; Metazoa; Chordata; Mammalia; Primates; Hominidae. The record is from RNAcentral.
GAACAUACUACUGCACGUGUCUUUUUGGUAGCAUGAUUUAUUUUUUGCGGGGUAUAUACCCAGUAAUGGGAUUGCUGGAACAAAUGGUAGCUCUUUUUUAAGUUCUUUGAGAAAUCUCCAGGCUGCUUUUCAAAAUGGCUGAACUAAUUAACAUUCCCACCAACACUAUAUAAGCAUUCCCUUUGCUCUGCAGCCUCAACAGCAUCUGUUGAUUUUCUACUUUUUAAUAACUGCUUUUCUGAAUGGUGUGAGAUGGUAUCUCGUUGUGAUUUUGAUUUGUGUUUCUCUGAUGAUUAGAAAUAAAUAGCAUUUUUCUUAUGUAUAUUGGCCAAUUUAGGUCUUCUUUUGAAAAGUGUGUGUGUAUUAGUCUGUCCUCACGCUGCUAACAAAGAAAUACCUGAGACUGGGUAAUUUAUAAAGUAAAGAGGUUUAAUUGCCUCACAGUUCUGCAUGGCUGGGGAAGCCUCAGUAAACUUAUAAUCAUGGCAGAAGGGGAAGCAAAUAUGCCCUUCUUAACAUCACAGCAGGAAGGAGAAGAAUGAAAACCAUUCAGAGGGGGUAGCCCCUUCUAAAACCAUUAGAUCUCGUGAUAACUUACUAUCAUGAGAAUAGCAUAUGGGAAACUGGUCCCAUGAUUCAAUUACUUCCCACCAGGUCUCUCCCAUGACACAGGAUUGUAGGGACUACAAUUCAUGAUGAGAUUUUGGUGGGGACACAGCCAAACCAUAUCAGUGUGUUCAUGCCUUUGCCCAUUUUUAAUGGGAAUAUUUGUUUUUGCUUGUUGAUUUAAGUGUCUUGUAGAUUCUGCAUAUUAGACCUUUGCCUGAUUUAUUGCUUCAGAAUGACUUCUCCCAUUCUGGAAGUUGUCUGUUUACUGUGUUGAUAGUUUCUUCUGCUGUGAAGAAGCACUUUAGUUUAAUUAGGUCUCACUUUUCAUUUUUUGUUUUUGUUGCAAUUGCUUUUGGGGACUUAACCAAUAAUUCUUUAAGAAGGCUAAUGUUGAGAAGGGUUUAUUUCCUAGGUUUUAUUCUUGGAUUUUUAGUUUGAGGUCUUACAUCUUUUAUCCAUCUGGAAUAAAUUUUUGUAUAUGGUAAAAGGUUAAGGGUCCAAUUUCAUUCUUCUACAUAUGGUUAACCAGUAAAACCAGAAUGAUUUUAAUGAAGUAUUUUACCCUUUGCUUGUUUCUUGUUGGUGUUGUCAAAGAUUAAAUGGCUGUAGGUGUGCAGUUUUAUUUCUGAGUUUUCUAUUCUGUUCCAUCAGUCUAUGUGUUUGUUUUGGUUUCGGUACCAGUACCAAGCUAUUUUGGUUGUUGUAGCCUUGCAAUAUCAGUUGAAGUUAAAUAUUCAAGCAAUAUUUCAAGUAGUGUGAUGUCUCCAGCCUGUUUUUUUUUUCUUUUUUCCUUUUUUUUUUUUUGUUUGUUUUUUGCUUAUUAUUACUUGGGCUAUUUGGGCUCUUUUUUGGUCCAUAUAAAUUUUGGAAUAGUUUUUUCUAAUUCUGUGAAGAAUGAUGAAUACUGUUGAAAGUUGGGUAGAAACAACAUUGAAUAUAUAAAUUGCUUUGGACAAUAUAGCCAUUUUUAGCAAAAUUUAUUCUUCCAAUCCAUGAACAUGGAAUGUUUUUUCAUUUAUUUUUGUCAUCACUGAGCUCUUUCAGUAUCAUUUUGUAGUUCUCCUUGUUGAAAUAUUUCACUCCUUUAGUUAGCUGCAUUGCUAGGUAUUUCAUUUUCUUUGUGGCAAUUUUAAGUGAGAUUAUGUUCUUGAUUUUAUUAUCAGCCUGGAUAUUAUUCAUCUAUAGAAAUGCUAUUGAAUUUUGUACAUUGGUUUUGUAUCCUCAGAUUUUAUUAAUGUCAUUUAUCAGUUCUAGGAGAACUUUGUCAGAGUGUUUAUGGUUUUCUAGGUAUAAAAUCAUAUUGUCAACGAACAAAGAUUGUUUUACUUCUUCUUUUCCUGUUUAGAUGCCUGUAUUUAUUUUCCUUGCCUGAUUACUCUGGCUAGGACUUCCAGUAUUAUGUUGAAUAGGGCUGGUGAGAGUAGGCAUCCUU